ACUGGGAGUAAUACCGUAUACGCCCUUUGGGGGAAAGAUUUAUCGGAGAAGGAUCGGCCCGCGUUGGAUUAGGUAGUUGGUGGGGUAAUGGCCCACCAAGCCGACGAUCCAUAGCUGGUUUGGGAGGAUGAUCAGCCACACUGGGACUGAGACACGGCCCAGACUCCUACGGGAGGCAGCAGUGGGGAAUCUUAGACAAUGGGGGCAACCCUGAUCUAGCCAUGCCGCGUGAGUGAUGAAGGCCUUAGGGUUGUAAAGCUCUUUCAGCUGGGAAGAUAAUGACGGUACCAGCAGAAGAAGCCCCGGCUAACUCCGUGCCAGCAGCCGCGGUAAUACGGAGGGGGCUAGCGUUGUUCGGAAUUACUGGGCGUAAAGCGCACGUAGGCGGACUGGAAAGUCAGAGGUGAAAUCCCAGGGCUCAACCUUGGAACUGCCUUUGAAACUAUCAGUCUGGAGUUCGAGAGAGGUGAGUGGAAUUCCGAGUGUAGAGGUGAAAUUCGUAGAUAUUCGGAGGAACACCAGUGGCGAAGGCGGCUCACUGGCUCGAUAC
Molecule: ribosomal RNA, 550 nt
Filed under: Paracoccus sp. (in: a-proteobacteria)
Lineage: Bacteria; Pseudomonadati; Pseudomonadota; Alphaproteobacteria; Rhodobacterales; Paracoccaceae
Description: bacterial SSU rRNA
Rfam family: Bacterial small subunit ribosomal RNA
Source: RNAcentral